UAAAUUCUCUCUCAUUUUUCUCCUCUCUCCCUCUCUCGGCCGCACGACCCCUUCUCUCUCUUGCACGUCGUUCUUCUGCUAGCGCCGGAAAAUGCUAGUUUCCGGCCACCACCUCUCGUCACCGCCACCACCAAUCGGUCCGACACCUAGUUUCGACGCAAGCCCAGGCCAAAUCGACGAGUUCUACCGAGCCUAGCCACCAUGCACAGCAACCACAGUCCCCGCGAUUUUGUCUCCUUCAAUUCCGGCGACUCCCUCAGCUCACCGCUGCCGCCAACGUGUUUGGAUCAAGCCAAGCCACAAAACCCAAAUGUUUCUCCUCCAAUCGACGCCGGAAAGCUGCCAUAUGCAUCACUGCCGGUGACUCCGAAUCUGCUUGUCCUCGUUCUCCAAUCUCCAGCCCAAAUUGAGCUGCACAACCACCAAAGUUGGAAUCAGAGCCUCCUCAUUCUUCAAAACCCUUUGGUCCCGACCUUUGCUUCGGCCAGAACCGUUGCACGCGCUGCCGCUGCCGUGUGGACCACCGUGGCUCCGCCACCGGAAUUCCAGGCCACCUUUAUUAGUUUUUGAUUAUGAGUUAUGAAGUUUUUGGAGAAAGGAAUGGGCAUUGGUUCAGUUUGAUGUAUAAUGAAGGAAGGAAGGAGUUCGAAUGGUUGUUGGUGGUGGAGGACUACACUUAUUUAGAAUUGGCCCUCUGUUUGAAGAUGAAGAAUUGGACUCGAGCGUGACUACUUGAGAUAGAACGAAAGCUCAAUAUCGAAAAUGAUUGAACGGAGAAAUUUCCGAGCUCUUGACUUGGGAUGGAUGAGUUGACGGUUAUUGCAUUUGAAUCACUUUUGCAGGCGAAAUUAGUUGAGGUCGGGCGUACAUGGAGUCGAGGCAUAGCCAACAGCAUUGCUUCCGCGUACUCAUUCUAUUUCUGUUUUCUUUGUUACCUAGUGGAUUAGUAUUGCUCUGAUAACCUAUGGGAUUACUAUUGUUUUUGGGUUGAGACUGAUAUUUGUGAAAUUGGAGUUGUGAUUUGGGGAGCAGAUGGCUCCAGGAGAAUAAGGAUGGAUGAUUUAGAAGUGUAAAUUUUCUUUCUACAGGUUUUGGGUUGUCCACUUUAGGGGAAGUUCUGCCAAAUUUUUUGGCAAAAUUUCUUCUAAGGUGGGCCCCGCAGGUCCACUUCGGAUUUCACCCUGAAAUCCGGGGCGGGUCCUGUCAGGAAGUUGGCUGGAAAAAUAUGUUUCUGGCCGGUGCUGGCCGGAACUAGCCGAAAACAACUUCUGUCCGAUUUUUUACAGGCGGUUCAGUGGCUUUGGUGGCGGUUCAGUGCUUUUCUGGCCGGUUCUGGAGAUUCUGCUUCCGGUUCCUGGAUCCUGGAGUCAAGGUACUACUGGUGACUAAGUUUGGUAGGCGGAGGAGGUUUGGAAGGCGGCGAACUAGGCAGGGAUUUCUUUCUGCUUCUGGGGGCCGGUUCGGUGGUUUUCCUGUGGUUCCGCCGCCGGUUCUGGGCUCCUGGGAUCGAGGGCUUCAAGGUGUGCGGUGGGGGAAGUUAGGGUUUGAGGGUUACAAUUUUAGGAUUUCAGGGUUAGAGCUUCGUGCUGAUAACAUGUUUUAAGGAAUCAGAAAUUGGAAGAGAAUGAGUUGUGCUUUCAUUGAUAAUAGAGACCUCUUUAUAUAUAGGAUUACAAGUAGCUAGAGAAUAUAAGUCUUACAAGGAAACUGAAUCGUACAAUGAUUAUGAUAUCUGUAAAACUAACCUUAUUGCUGAUAAAGUAAUCUGGGGUUCACAUCCAAAACCAAUUGGCAAUGGAUGGAGUGGCCCAAACCCUUAUAAACCCAUAGGCAAGGUCCCAUUUUUCCCAUGUGGGAUGUAUAUAUUCUCAACACGCCCCCGCACGUGUGGCGAAUUUUCAAGCCAUACACGUGGACAACUUUGGGUGACGUGGAGCCCGUGUGGCCGUGAGGCAUGCACACGUGGGUAACCCGCUCUGAUACCAUGAUAAAGUAAUCUGGGGUUCACAUCCAAAACCAAUUGGCAAUGGAUGUAGUGGCCCAAACCCUUAUAAACUCAUAAGCAAAGUUAUAUUUUUCCAAUGUGGGAGUUAUAUUUAUACACAUUCUCAACACGCCCCCGCACGUGUGGCGAUUUUUCAAGCCAUACACGUGGACAAGUUAUAUUGGGUGACGGUGAGCACGUGUGGCCAUCUCUGAAACCAAACACGUGGGUAACCCGCUCUGAUACCAUGAUAAAGUAAUCUGGGGUUCACAUCCAAAACCAAACACGUGAGUAACCCGCUCUGGUAAUGAGUUGCUGGAUGGGAAUUUCAUUACAAAAAGUUUGGUGAUUUUAGAUUGGCAAAGCUCAUGGAUCAUGAUAGGAGCCCUGUUUUGAGGUUUAUAGCUGGAAUAAUGGGGUGCUGAUGCUUUCUGCUUUGGUGGGAAAACUGAUUGAAGCUGCUGGAGUUCUGCUUUCCACUGUUUUUCUUUGUUCCAACCAUUAUGCUUAGGUACCAAGCAUAUGGUUGAGGGGGGAUGUUAAGGGUAAUAUAGGAGUGUUGGUUAUUUUUACUAGUGUUGGUUAUUUCACUUAGUUUGCUUUAGUAUAUAAAGAGAAUGUAUGGUUGUAAAUGUAAUUAGAAAAUCCCAGUAACAAUGUAGUCCUUAAGCCUUCUCGGGGUUUCUUUUC
Molecule: long non-coding RNA, 2674 nt
Organism: Rosa rugosa (rugosa rose)
Lineage: Eukaryota; Viridiplantae; Streptophyta; Magnoliopsida; Rosales; Rosaceae
Exons: 4
Source: RefSeq, a predicted model, not a curated record